RNAcentral lists this ribosomal RNA (492 nucleotides) under uncultured bacterium. RNAcentral's name for it is "partial 16S ribosomal RNA". It matches the Rfam family "Bacterial small subunit ribosomal RNA", at positions 29 to 507 of the family's 1533-position model. The record is from RNAcentral.
AGUGAACGCUGGCGGUAGGCCUAACACAUGCAAGUCGAACGGCAGCACAGUAAGAGCUUGCUCUUACGGGUGGCGAGUGGCGGACGGGUGAGGAAUACAUCGGAAUCUACUUUUUCGUGGGGGAUAGCGUAGGGAAACUUACGCUAAUACCGCAUACGACCUACGGGUGAAAGCAGGGGAUCUUCGGACCUUGCGCGAUUGAAUGAGCCGAUGUCGGAUUAGCUAGUUGGCGGGGUAAAGGCCCACCAAGGCGACGAUCCGUAGCUGGUCUGAGAGGAUGAUCAGCCACACUGGAACUGAGACACGGUCCAGACUCCUACGGGAGGCAGCAGUGGGGAAUAUUGGACAAUGGGCGCAAGCCUGAUCCAUCCAUACCGCGUGGGUGAAGAAGGCCUUCGGGUUGUAAAGCCCUUUUGUUGGGAAAGAAAAGCAGCAGGUUAAUACCCCGCUGUUCUGACGGUACCCAAAGAAUAAGCACCGGCUAACUUCGUG